This 521-nucleotide ribosomal RNA is filed under the name uncultured bacterium. Its description in RNAcentral is "bacterial SSU rRNA". It matches the Rfam family "Bacterial small subunit ribosomal RNA", at positions 989 to 1509 of the family's 1533-position model. The record is from RNAcentral.
CGAGUGACCACUCACGAAAGUGAGCUUCCGCAAGGACACUCGUAGAGGUGCUGCAUGGCUGUCGUCAGCUCGUGUCGUGAGAUGUUGGGUUAAGUCCCGCAACGAGCGCAACCCUUGUUUGCUGUUGCCAUCAGGUUAUGCUGGGCACUCUGCAAAGACUGCCGGUGAUAAACCGGAGGAAGGUGGGGAUGACGUCAAGUCAGCAUGGCCUUUAUGUCUGGGGCCACACACGUGCUACAAUGGCCGACACAAACCGUCGCGAUACCGUAAGGUGGAGCUAAUCGGAGAAAGUCGGUCUCAGUUCGGAUCGUAGGCUGCAACUCGCCUGCGUGAAGUUGGAAUCGCUAGUAAUCGCGGAUCAGCACGCCGCGGUGAAUACGUUCCCGGGCCUUGUACACACCGCCCGUCACAUCACGAAAGCCGGUUGUACUAGAAGUCGCCAUACCAACCCGCAAGGGAGGGAGGCGCCUAAGGUAUGGUCGGUGAUUGGGGUGAAGUCGUAACAAGGUAGGCGUAGUGCU